ACACUGGGACUGAGACACGGCCCAGACUCCUACGGGAGGCAGCAGCUAAGAAUCUUCCGCAAUGGACGAAAGUCUGACGGAGCGACGCCGCGUGAACGAAGAAGGCCGAAAGGUUGUAAAGUUCUUUUGCAGGUGAAGAAUAAGGGCAGGAGGGAAUGCCUGUCUGAUGACGCUAGCCUGUGAAUAAGCCCCGGCUAAUUACGUGCCAGCAGCCGCGGUAACACGUAAGGGGCGAGCGUUGUUCGGAAUUAUUGGGCGUAAAGGGCGUGUAGGCGGUCCGGUAAGCCUGGUGUGUAAAGGCUACGGCUUAACCGUAGUUAAGCGCUGGGAACUGCCGGGCUAGAGUCCAGAAGGGGGAGGUAGAAUUCCUGGUGUAGGGGUGAAAUCUGUAGAUAUCAGGAAGAAUACCGGUGGCGAAGGCGACCUCCUGGUCUUGGACUGACGCUGAGGCGCGAAAGCGUGGGGAGCGAACAGGAUUAGAUACCCUGGUAGUCCACGCUGUAAACGAUGUGCACUAGGUGUUGGGGCGAAGAAGCCUCGGUGCCGAAGCUAACGCGAUAAGUGCACCGCCUGGGGAGUAUGCUCGCAAGGGUGAAACUCAAAGGAAUUGACGGGGGCCUGCACAAGCGGUGAAGCAUGUGGUUUAAUUCGAUGAUACGCGAGGAACCUUACCAGGGUUUGACAUACACCGGGAGCCGUGGGAGACCGCGGUGCCUCUUUUGAGGCCGGUGUACAGGUGCUGCAUGGCUGUCGUCAGCUCGUGCUGUGAAGUGUUGGGUUAAGUCCCGCAACGAGCGCAACCCCUACUGUCUGUUGCCAACAGGUUAAGCUGGGCACUCAGACGGAACUGCCGGUGACAAACCGGAGGAAGGUGGGGACGACGUCAAAUCAUCAUGGCCCUUAUGUCCUGGGCUACACACGUGCUACAAUGGCCGGUACAGAGUGAGGCGAAACCGCGAGGUGGAGCAAAUCACAGAAAACCGGUCUCAGUUCGGAUCGGAGUCUGAAACCCGACUUCGUGAAGCUGGAAUCGCUAGUAAUCGCGCAUCAGCAUGGCGCGGUGAUACGUUCCCAGGCCUUGUACACACCGCCCGUCACACCACCCGAGUUGGGGGUACCCGAAGUCGGUAGCCUAACCGUGCAAGCGGGGGG
Molecule: ribosomal RNA, 1152 nt
Filed under: uncultured organism
Description: bacterial SSU rRNA
Rfam family: Bacterial small subunit ribosomal RNA
Source: RNAcentral